Molecule: ribosomal RNA, 252 nt
Filed under: uncultured bacterium
Lineage: Bacteria
Description: partial 16S ribosomal RNA
Rfam family: Bacterial small subunit ribosomal RNA
Source: RNAcentral
UACGGGGGGGCAAGCGUUGUCCGGAAUCAUUGGGCGUAAAGAGCGUGUAGGCGGCCCGGUAAGUCCGCUGUGAAAGUCCAGGGCUCAACCCUGGGAUGCCGGUGGAUACUGUCGGGCUAGAGUCCGGAAGAGGCGAGUGGAAUUCCUGGUGUAGCGGUGGAAUGCGCAGAUAUCAGGAGGAACACCGAUGGCGAAGGCAGCUCGCUGGGACGGUACUGACGCUGAGGCGCGAAAGCGUGGGGAGCGAACAGG